This 468-nucleotide ribosomal RNA is filed under the name uncultured bacterium. RNAcentral describes it as "partial 16S ribosomal RNA". It matches the Rfam family "Bacterial small subunit ribosomal RNA", at positions 28 to 507 of the family's 1533-position model. The record is from RNAcentral.
GACGAACGCUGGCGGCGUGCUUAAUACAUGCAAGUCGAACGGACCGAUUCCGGUAGUUUACUAUUGGGAAGGGUAAGGGGCGGAUGGGUGGGUAACGCUUGGCCAAUCUGCCCCUAAUACGGGGGGAAAACAGGGAAAGUUAUCCUAAAACCGCUUACUUUUAAUGAGCCGCAGGGUGGAGAAAGGAAAGGGAAGGCUUAGGGAGGGGCCCGCGUCCCAUUGGCUAGUGGGUGAGGUAACGCCCCACCAAGGCAACGAUGGGUAGCCGGGCUGGGAGGGUGGGCGGCCACACUGGGACUGAGACACGGCCCAGACUCCUACGGGGAGCAGCAGUAGGGAAUUUUCGGCAAUGGGCGAAAGCCUGACCGAGCAACGCCGCGUGAGGGACGAAGGUCUUCGGAUCGUAAACCUUUGUCAUCGAGGACGAUAAUGACGGUACUCGAGGAGGAAGCCCCGGCUAACUACGUG